RNAcentral lists this non-coding RNA (21 nucleotides) under Caenorhabditis elegans. The record is from RNAcentral. Lineage: Eukaryota; Metazoa; Nematoda; Chromadorea; Rhabditida; Rhabditidae.
UAGCACUUAAACAAAUCUCAC